AUACGGUAGGGGGCUAGCGUUAUCCGGUAUUUACGUGGGCGUAAAGGGUGCGUAGGUGGUUUCUUAAGUCAGGAGUGAAAGGCUACGGCUCAACCGUAGUAAGCUCUUGAAACUGGGAAACUUGAGUGCAGGAGAGGAAAGUGGAAUUCCUAGUGUAGCGGUGAAAUGCGUAGAUAUUAGGAGGAACACCAGUAGCGAAGGCGGCUUUCUGGACUGUAACUGACACUGAGGCACGAAAGCGUGGGGAGC
RNAcentral lists this ribosomal RNA (249 nucleotides) under uncultured bacterium. Its description in RNAcentral is "partial 16S ribosomal RNA". It matches the Rfam family "Bacterial small subunit ribosomal RNA", at positions 523 to 769 of the family's 1533-position model. The record is from RNAcentral.